GAUAUUCAAGAAUUUUACUGGGAUAAUUGUCCAAGUGAAAUUCUAAGAAUUUUAUCCAAAUGGGGUGAAGCAGCUGCAGCACUGGGGAAAAUGGGUCCUGGCUGCCUUAAAUAGCACCAAUCACCAUAAAGCAACGCGAGAAGCCUGAAGUCUACAGAUGCACGGCUGGUGGUGUGGCGCAGACGGAGCAAGGGUUACAUCAAGGCUGUUCUCUGGACCGUGCAAACAGUAGACCAAUGACCUGCAGCAUCAUGCCCUUUGAAGAAGAGGCAAGUUCGGUCAUGAUGAAGAAAAAUCAAGGCGUACCUCUUGUAACAAUAGGGAGCGGCUCGAGGCUGCAAAGAGGUAAGCAGGGGUAAGAAGAAAAACGGCAUCUGCUUCCAUGGUUACAGGCCAACUAUGAGAACCUUGCUUUUCAAGGGAGUCUGUUCUCAGGCUCCCUCGCGGGGUAUGUCAUGCAUUCUAAGCAA
Molecule: long non-coding RNA, 470 nt
Organism: Myotis myotis
Lineage: Eukaryota; Metazoa; Chordata; Mammalia; Chiroptera; Vespertilionidae
Exons: 3
Source: RefSeq, a predicted model, not a curated record